This 253-nucleotide ribosomal RNA is filed under the name uncultured prokaryote. Its description in RNAcentral is "partial 16S ribosomal RNA". It matches the Rfam family "Bacterial small subunit ribosomal RNA", at positions 524 to 776 of the family's 1533-position model. The record is from RNAcentral.
UACAGAGGGUGCAAGCGUUAAUCGGAAUUACUGGGCGUAAAGCGCGCGUAGGUGGUCUAUUAAGUCGGAUGUGAAAGCCCUGGGCUCAACUUAGGAAUUGCAUUCGAUACUGGUAGGCUAGAGUAUGGUAGAGGGAAGUGGAAUUUCCGGUGUAGCGGUGAAAUGCGUAGAUAUCGGAAGGAACACCAGUGGCGAAGGCGACUUCCUGGGCCAAUACUGACACUGAGGCGCGAAAGCGUGGGGAGCAAACAGG